CGGAGCAUAGCUAAAAAAUGAAAAGAAAUAUACAAAAAGAACCUAACGUCUGAAAGAGCAAGAGGACACAAAAAUACAAAACCUAAAAAGCUGACAAAGAACCUACACCUUAGGAAAAGAGCGUCGUUUUUCAGCUGAAAAAAGAAACCCCAUCCCCCCUUGACUUGGUCUUCUAAAAGAUGACCCCCCAUCGGUUUUCUCUUCUUCUUCACCAACUUGAAGAAAGCUUUAGCGAUUUUCUGAGCUUCAGCAACCAUAAACGACCCCCCCCCCCCAUUUCUUAGUCUUCUUUAAUGCUCGAGGAACAGAGGGAAGAACGGAAACAAAACGCACCAAAAUCACAGCUGAAGAAACAGCUUUCAUACCAGUCAAAAGCCUAGCGAAAUCGAGCUUGAAUCACCUCUGAACUCCAGCCAAAGGGCAGCGAAACCAGCCAUGAAAAUAGCUUCAAAACCGGCUAUGUAAGCUCACCAUUUCCAUCAUUAAAGCACUGAAAAAUCAGCACCAACCCACCCCGAAACAACCACUCUUUCUAUGUCAAACGGAGGUUACCGGCGAGGUUGAAUUCCGGCUGUGUUCGAGCCAUGGUUUUCUGACGCCUUUGGAGUUUUAUUACUGGUUCUGGUCCUUGGCUCGAUUAUUGAGUUGUAGAAGUUCAAAGUUUGGAUUCGGCUAGUGUAAAGGUUCAGUUUUCUAAUCCUAGCAUUUUGAUCUUAUUUUGUGUGUUGCUAAGAUGAAUUUGGUGUCAAACUUCAUGAGAUGAUUCUAUCCAAUGUAAUUUUAAAUGUUCUUGUUUUAUUUAGUACAAAUUAACGGAUUAUUAUUUUUUCUAGUCUUAGGUCUAUUCUCUUUUUUUUUGUAGAAAUCUUAUCUGAAUAGGAUUACCCCUUUUUGAUUAGCUUGAAUAUUUUAGUCUGAAAUCGUGGUAUGGCAAGUUUACUGGUUAGAGCAAUUGUGUUGAUAUCCUGUUGUAGGCUUAAUUGGAUAAUUUGCUUGGGCCACGAAGAGGAAAUCGGCUUUUGGGUUGUUUGAGAAGAAAACAUUUUGAGCCAAAAGAUUUAGUCUCUUCAGGCCCAAAGUAAUUAAUAACAUAGCUGGCCAAUCUUACUUUAAGCUAUAGCCCUCAUAUAAUUCGUUAAUUCUUGUAUAAAAUUUGGGGUGCGCCCUUUUCCCUUUAAUAACCCAUGGCCCUCAUGAAAAUUAAUUUAAUCCUUGUAAAAAUUUAGGUGUGCUAUCAAUUAAAUCAUCCAUAGCCCUCACAAAUGUUGCUAUUAAAAAUUGAACCUUCGUAGUUGCUUUAGGCGCGUUUCUUUAAAUAAAGUAUCAUAGCUACGGGUACGGUUCUCGUUACGUAGUUGUGAUACACGAUUCUAAAAUUCGGGUGUGCAUUUCACGUGACCCGAUUCUAAUUUCCAACAAGGUUAAAUAGAAUGUGUCGUGAACCAUGGGUGCAUUUCAUGUAGCGUGGUUUGCGAUGUAUUUUAAAUAACCUUGAAUAAAUUCUUUAAAUAAUUAAAAGCAGUCAAAAGGUUAAAAAAUGCACAUAGGUUUAAAAGUGUUUCAAAAUGAGAUAAAUAGGCCAAUAAUAAUGGUUGAGCGACCGUGCUAGAACCACAGAACCCUGAAAUGCCUAACACCUUCUCCCAGGUUAACAGAAUUCCUUACCCAGAUUUCUGUGUUCGCAGACUGUAAAACAGAGUCAAUCUUUUCUCGAUUCGGGAUUGGAACCGAUGACUUGGGACACCAUAAAUUAUCUCAAGUGGCGACUCUAAUUUUUAAAUAAAUAAUCUCGUUUCGAUUGUCACUUAAAUUGGAAAAAAACUCUCUUAUACCCCUCUCGGGUGUAGUAAAAAAGGAGGUGUGACAGCUCUAGCGACUCUACUGGGGAACGAACCAAGAAUAUCUGGUUCAGGGUUCAGAAUUUGAGCUUAGAAUAACUGUUAUAGUUGGCUUUAUUUAUUAUCUGAUUUUUAUGUGUUUGAGCCUAAUGUGCUGACUGUCGCUUUGAUAUUGUUGAACUGUAUAUAAAUUGUUACAAAACCCUCCUCUUUCUGAGUCUUCUAAAUCAUCUAGGAAGUGUGCACUUCGUGUGACUUCUCUUCUAUUACAGUCAUAUCCUAAUUUUAGAACGAGAUUCGGAUAAGUUGCAAAGUCGGUGAAGCUUCUGUAUUCCCAGUACGUUGCCCCCCUCGGCUCGAGCUGUCCGCUCGGGGAAGCCAGGUCUAGAAUAAAUAAACCUAGGUUUUUAAACAUAGUAUAACACAGCCUCAUGUCGGAUCCCUAGUGGGAAUGCUUGUUUGCAUCACGUGCAUUUGACUUUGGGAACUCAACACAAGGGUUGGGUCUGUCUAGGACAGGUGUACCCAAAAUAAAAGACCAUCCUGAUGCAUCCUAUGUGCUACAUGUUGCAUUUGUUCAAGGGUAAAAGGGUCAUCUGGCGGACCAAUGAUAGUUGAGGGCAAAGAAAAAAUAGAAAAAAAAAAAAGAGGGUUAAGUGUGAAAAUAAAGCAAAUAGGGCCCAGUUAUAUUUUUCUUUCACAUUUUUGUUUAAAGAAAAAGACAAAAAAAAUAUAUGAAAAAUCCAUAAAGAUUUUGCACUUUCCCAUCAUUUUCCAAAAAUCAAAAAAAGAGGGAAAAGAAAAUCCAAAAAAGAGUUUACAUGUUUCAUCAUUUUUUCAAAAAAAAUAUAUAUAUAUAUAUAUUCUCUAAAUUAGUUGUUUUUAAUUCUUGCUCGUAUCCAAUCUGUCCGAACUACGCAUACCUGAUUCUCGUCUUUCGGAAUGUGAUACGUAGGCAACCCAAAUAGAGUCUGGUCUUCCUUGAGUCUUAGGUUCUUAGCUUCUCGGGGUCUUAGCCAAAUCCUGCAUUUUUAGCCACUUUUAGCCGCAUAGGUUAAUUUUAGAAAAAUAGUCACAAUCAUGUCUUGCAUAUGUCCAACAAGAAGGGUUAAUGUCUCACAUAGCGUUCUAGGUCUUUAACUUAUUUGGUUUUAAUUUUCUCAUACAGAUGUAAAUUUACUUACCGGAGUUUGAGCAUGACAGAACCCCGUGACCAUCCAGUUAGGAUCGCUCAUUCAGGAGUGGCUUAAGGAGAUUUUUCUUUUUAUGUUGCCUUUUACCUUGUAGUUUUGUACAGUAAUGUCGAGUCGUUUGGUAUUGUUUUCCUAUUUUGC
RNAcentral lists this long non-coding RNA (3172 nucleotides) under Nicotiana tabacum (common tobacco). Its description in RNAcentral is "long non-coding RNA (NTAB_LNC004704)". Lineage: Eukaryota; Viridiplantae; Streptophyta; Magnoliopsida; Solanales; Solanaceae. The record is from RNAcentral.